ACUCCUACGGGAGGCAGCAGUGGGAAUAUUGCACAAUGGGCGCAAGCCUGAUGCAGCCAUGCCGCGUGUGUGAAGAAGGCCUUCGGGUUGUAAACACUUCAGUCGUGAGGAAGUAGUGUAGUUAAUAGCUGCAUUAUUUGACGUUAGCGACAGAAGAAGCACCGGCUAACUCCGUGCCAGCACCGCGGUAAUACGGAGGGUGCAGCGUUAAUCGGAAUUACUGGGCGUAAAGCGCAUGCAGGUGUUUGUUAAGUCAGAUGUGAAAGCCC
Molecule: ribosomal RNA, 269 nt
Filed under: uncultured bacterium
Lineage: Bacteria
Description: partial 16S ribosomal RNA
Rfam family: Bacterial small subunit ribosomal RNA
Source: RNAcentral